AGAAGUGCGAAUGCUGACAUAAGUAACGAUAAAGCGGGUGAAAAGCCCGCUCGCCGGAAGACCAAGGGUUCCUGUCCAACGUUAAUCGGGGCAGGGUGAGUCGACCCCUAAGGCGAGGCCGAAAGGCGUAGUCGAUGGGAAACGGGUUAAUAUUCCCGUACUUGGUGUUACUGCGAAGGGGGGACGGAGAAGGCUAUGUUGGCCGGGCGACGGUUGUCCCGGUUUAAGCGUGUAGGUGUGUGUUCCAGGUAAAUCCGGUUCACUUUAACACUGAGGCGUGACGACGAGGCACUACGGUGCUGAAGCAACAAAUGCCCUGCUUCCAGGAAAAGCCUCUAAGCAUCAGGUAACAUCAAAUCGUACCCCAAACCGACACAGGUGGUCAGGUAGAGAAUACCAAGGCGCUUGAGAGAACUCGGGUGAAGGAACUAGGCAAAAUGGUGCCGUAACUUCGGGAGAAGGCACGCUGACACGUAGGUGAAGUGAUUUACUCAUGGAGCUGAAGUCAGUCGAAGAUACCAGCUGGCUGCAACUGUUUAUUAAAAACACAGCACUGUGCAAACACGAAAGUGGACGUAUACGGUGUGACGCCUGCCCGGUGCCGGAAGGUUAAUUGAUGGGGUCAGCGCAAGCGAAGCUCCUGAUCGAAGCCCCGGUAAACGGCGGCCGUAACUAUAACGGUCCUAAGGUAGCGAAAUUCCUUGUCGGGUAAGUUCCGACCUGCACGAAUGGCGUAAUGAUGGCCAGGCUGUCUCCACCCGAGACUCAGUGAAAUUGAACUCGCUGUGAAGAUGCAGUGUACCCGCGGCAAGACGGAAAGACCCCGUGAACCUUUACUAUAGCUUGACACUGAACAUUGAGCCUUGAUGUGUAGGAUAGGUGGGAGGCUUUGAAGUGUGGACGCCAGUCUGCAUGGAGCCGACCUUGAAAUACCACCCUUUAAUGUUUGAUGUUCUAACGUGGACCCGUUACCCGGGUUGCGGACAGUGUCUGGUGGGUAGUUUGACUGGGGCGGUCUCCUCCUAAAGAGUAACGGAGGAGCACGAAGGUUGGCUAAUCCUGGUCGGACAUCAGGAGGUUAGUGCAAUGGCAUAAGCCAGCUUGACUGCGAGCGUGACGGCGCGAGCAGGUGCGAAAGCAGGUCAUAGUGAUCCGGUGGUUCUGAAUGGAAGGGCCAUCGCUCAACGGAUAAAAGGUACUCCGGGGAUAACAGGCUGAUACCGCCCAAGAGUUCAUAUCGACGGCGGUGUUUGGCACCUCGAUGUCGGCUCAUCACAUCCUGGGGCUGAAGUAGGUCCCAAGGGUAUGGCUGUUCGCCAUUUAAAGUGGUACGCGAGCUGGGUUUAGAACGUCGUGAGACAGUUCGGUCCCUAUCUGCCGUGGGCGCUGGAGAACUGAGGGGGGCUGCUCCUAGUACGAGAGGACCGGAGUGGACGCAUCACUGGUGUUCGGGUUGUCAUGCCAAUGGCACUGCCCGGUAGCUAAAUGCGGAAGAGAUAAGUGCUGAAAGCAUCUAAGCACGAAACUUGCCCCGAG
This 1536-nucleotide ribosomal RNA is filed under the name Salmonella enterica subsp. enterica serovar Enteritidis. RNAcentral describes it as "partial 23S ribosomal RNA". It matches the Rfam family "Bacterial large subunit ribosomal RNA", at positions 1284 to 2803 of the family's 2925-position model. Lineage: Bacteria; Pseudomonadati; Pseudomonadota; Gammaproteobacteria; Enterobacterales; Enterobacteriaceae. The record is from RNAcentral.